Molecule: long non-coding RNA, 447 nt
Filed under: Oryza sativa Indica Group (long-grained rice)
Lineage: Eukaryota; Viridiplantae; Streptophyta; Magnoliopsida; Poales; Poaceae
Description: lncRNA OsPr106_02g0036530
Source: RNAcentral
AAGCGUCCUCCUCGCCGUUGGCUUUCUCGGGCGAGCCGCGUCUCCCUCGUCUCCCUCCCCCCGCACGCCCGCACCCAAUUUUCCUCCCCCCAAUCUCUCUCUCUCUCGCUCGUCCGCUCGAAUCCUCCACCGAUCGGAUCCCCCGCGGCUCGUCGGCGGCGAUCCUCCGGCGGCGCCGCGCCCAGGCGUCAGGAGGCAGCUUUGGCUUGGCUUGGCUUCGCCAUUACUGGGCGUGGAGUUCUCGUGAGGUGGAGACCCAAGCCUCACCCGAAAGAGACGCUCCAAUUCCUAGGCGUAAAUAUUACUGCCAGCCUCGCUGCAGCAGCAGCCCGAAAAAAGAAUUCCCCAAUUCCGCCUCCUCCUCCUCCUCCACUCCACAUUUAUUGGGGGUGUUCUUGGGCGGGGGGUGUGGAUUGGUGGUGGAGCUGUCAAUGCGGGUGGAUUUGA